RNAcentral lists this ribosomal RNA (253 nucleotides) under uncultured bacterium. RNAcentral's name for it is "partial 16S ribosomal RNA". It matches the Rfam family "Bacterial small subunit ribosomal RNA", at positions 524 to 776 of the family's 1533-position model. The record is from RNAcentral. RNAcentral also lists the same sequence under 1 other name.
GACAGAGGGUGCAAACGUUGUUCGGAAUUACUGGGCGUAAAGCGUGUGUAGGCGGCCACGUAAGUCGGAUGUGAAAGCCCCGGGCUCAACCCGGGAAGUGCACUCGAUACUGCGUGGCUUGAGUACUGGAGAGGUUGGUGGAAUUCUCGGUGUAGAGGUGAAAUUCGUAGAUAUCGAGAGGAACACCGGUGGCGAAGGCGGCCAACUGGACAGAUACUGACGCUGAGACACGAAAGCGUGGGUAGCAAACAGG